Molecule: unclassified non-coding RNA, 1490 nt
Filed under: Hevea brasiliensis (rubber tree)
Lineage: Eukaryota; Viridiplantae; Streptophyta; Magnoliopsida; Malpighiales; Euphorbiaceae
Source: RNAcentral
AAAAGAUUUACACCCCAUGUUAUUAUUAUUUAAUAUAAUUAAUUUAAUUGUGAAUACUAUUUAUAUUACAUGAUUUGUUAUCUAUAACACUUUCAUUCAGAAUACCUUUGGGAGUCGCGUAUUCAGAAGCAUUUCACAUCAAAAUUCAUAAUAAAGUUCAUCUUUUACCAUCUAAAGGUGUAAAGAGUUUACUCACAGAGGGGCCUCCCUGAUGAAGCGUACCACUCUAAACCGGGUGCAACCUAAUGUAGCAAAAAAUUUCUCUCUUCAUUAUUUCCCAGAUAGGAACGGCAGGAUCUUCCCCAUCAAUCACAUCGAAACAACCAAAGCAACCAAGUAUACCAAAGCAGAUGUUGAGGCAUUUCAGUACUAGAGGCCAAGAUGUUAUAUACAAAGGCGGGGAACUCUACACACCCAAUUUUAGACAAUGCCUCCAUAAUAUGUUGAGUAAUGGAAGGACAUCGGCAAAAUCUCUCCUCUUGUGCAUAAAGUAUGCGUACCCCACAAUUUACCACAUUGAUUGGUACAGGAUGGCCAUUCAUAUCUUCAGUGUAGAAUUCAACAACAACCUCACUGUAUUUACUAAACCAAUCAUCUUUCAUAAUAUUCACACAGGGAUCAUACCCAAAGAACGAAUGAUAAUUCCAGAUUGAGUUCGUUCUCAUACCAUAUGGACCACCAAAAUAGCCAUGGAGGUCAUCACAGUCACCAUACUCAUUUUUGAAAUGGUAUCUGCAUUUAACUUGGAAACCAGAGUCAUCAAUGUCGGGCUUGUUACUGAUAAUAACAGCGCAAAGAGCAAAACCCCAGAACUUGCUGUUAGCCCAGUGUGAAGGCAGCUGGAUUGUUGUUGAAAAUCCCCUGGCUUGAUGGCCGAACCACUUUGGAAUAUAACUUCCAUGGAAGCAAAUAGUAGAUUCCCCAGCUAGUACAGAAGGCAUCUGACUAUGCAGUCUUUUUGCAUAAAGCUGGAAUUUUCUUAGGGCGUAUCCCAUGAAAUUGUGCCUUGAAAUCACAUUCAAGUUCUUGCAAUUGGUGAGAAGGAAUUCAAAAAUGUUUCCUUCGACUCCAGUUGAAUCAAUUGAUAUUUCUAUCAGUGAUAAGCAAUCGUCAGCAUCUAAUUUUGUCAGCCGUGGUGGAAGUCCUUUUAUUAAUGUUAGAUUCGGGCAAUGCCUUAAACCGAGAUAUUGCAGCUCAGAAAGAUUACUGAUGCUUUUAGGUAACGUAUGAAAAUAGUUUCCACUAAGAUCUAGUGCCUCUACUGAAGAUAAGCAGCUUAUGCAAUCAGGCAAGUUCUGCAGGCCGCUUCCUCCAAGAGAUAGCUUCCGUAGGUAUUGCAAAUGUGCUCCUGAUUUGUCUACACCUAAGGCCGUAUCUGAUAAGAUGCGAAGAUGAGUACAACCCCUCAAUUCCAAGCAAGAAAGGCUCUUCAAAUUUUGAAUUGGCGUGGGCAACUUUCUUAUGGAUGUUCCAUCUAAAUAAAGAUAUCU